GACGAACGCUGGUGGCGUGCUUAACACAUGCAAGUCGAACGGAAAGGCCCUGCUUUUGUGGGGUGCUCGAGUGGCGAACGGGUGAGUAACACGUGAGUAACCUGCCCUUGACUUUGGGAUAACUUCAGGAAACUGGGGCUAAUACCGGAUAGGAGCUCCUGCUGCAUGGUGGGGGUUGGAAAGUUUCGGCGGUUGGGGAUGGACUCGCGGCUUAUCAGCUUGUUGGUGGGGUAGUGGCUUACCAAGGCUUUGACGGGUAGCCGGCCUGAGGGGGUGACCGGCCACAUUGGGACUGAGAUACGGCCCAGACUCCUACGGGAGGCAGCAGUGGGGAAUAUUGCACAAUGGGCGGAAGCCUGAUGCAGCAACGCCGCGUGCGGGAUGACGGCCUUCGGGUUGUAAACCGCUUUCGCCUGUGACGAAGCGUGAGUGACGGUAAUGGGUAAAGAAGCACCGGCUAACUACGUGCCAGCAGCCGCGGUGAUACGUAGGGUGCGAGCGUUGUCCGGAUUUAUUGGGCGUAAAGGGCUCGUAGGUGGUUGAUCGCGUCGGAAGUGUAAUCUUGGGGCUUAACCCUGAGCGUGCUUUCGAUACGGGUUGACUUGAGGAAGGUAGGGGAGAAUGGAAUUCCUGGUGGAGCGGUGGAAUGCGCAGAUAUCAGGAGGAACACCAGUGGCGAAGGCGGUUCUCUGGGCCUUUCCUGACGCUGAGGAGCGAAAGCGUGGGGAGCGAACAGGCUUAGAUACCCUGGUAGUCCACGCUGUAAACGGUGGGUACUAGGUGUGGGGUCCAUUCCACGGGUUCCGUGCCGUAGCUAACGCUUUAAGUACCCCGCCUGGGGAGUACGGCCGCAAGGUUAAAACUCAAAGGAAUUGACGGGGCCCCGCACAAGCGGCGGAGCAUGCGGAUUAAUUCGAUGCAACGCGUAGAACCUUACCUGGGUUUGACAUGGAUCGGGAGUGCUCAGAGAUGGGUGUGCCUCUUUUGGGGUCGGUUCACAGGUGGUGCAUGGCUGUCGUCAGCUCGUGUCGUGAGAUGUUGGGUUAAGUCCCGCAACGAGCGCAACCCUUGUUCACUGUUGCCAGCACGUUAUGGUGGGGACUCAGUGGAGACCGCCGGGGUCAACUCGGAGGAAGGUGGGGAUGACGUCAAGUCAUCAUGCCCCUUAUGUCCGGGGCUUCACGCAUGCUACAAUGGCUGGUACAGAGAGUGGCGAGCCUGUGAGGGUGAGCGAAUCUCGGAAAGCCGGUCUCAGUUCGGAUUGGGGUCUGCAACUCGACCUCAUGAAGUCGGAGUCGCUAGUAAUCGCAGAUCAGCAACGCUGCGGUGAAUACGUUCCCGGGGCU
This 1346-nucleotide ribosomal RNA is filed under the name uncultured bacterium. RNAcentral describes it as "partial 16S ribosomal RNA". It matches the Rfam family "Bacterial small subunit ribosomal RNA", at positions 28 to 1381 of the family's 1533-position model. The record is from RNAcentral.